GAUGAACGCUAGCGAUAGGCUUAACACAUGCAAGUCGAGGGGCAGCACAAGGUAGCUUGCUAUCUGGGUGGCGACCGGCGCACGGGUGCGUAACGCGUAUGCAACUUGCCCUAUACAGGAGGAUAACCCGUCGAAAGACGGACUAAUACUGCGUAUGCUCACAACUUGGCAUCAAGUGGUGAGGAAAGAAAUUCGGUAUAGGAUAGGCAUGCGUCCCAUUAGCUUGUUGGUGAGGUAACGGCUCACCAAGGCAACGAUGGGUAGGGGAACUGAGAGGUUUAUCCCCCACACUGGUACUGAGACACGGACCAGACUCCUACGGGAGGCAGCAGUGGGGAAUAUUGGUCAAUGGGCGCGAGCCUGAACCAGCCAAGUCGCGUGAAGGAUGACUGUCUUAUGGAUUGUAAACUUCUUUUAUACGGGAAUAACAAGAGUCACGUGUGACUCCCUGCAUGUACCGUAUGAAUAAGCAUCGGCUAACUCCGUG
This 487-nucleotide ribosomal RNA is filed under the name uncultured bacterium. RNAcentral's name for it is "partial 16S ribosomal RNA". It matches the Rfam family "Bacterial small subunit ribosomal RNA", at positions 28 to 507 of the family's 1533-position model. The record is from RNAcentral.